This 460-nucleotide ribosomal RNA is filed under the name uncultured bacterium. Its description in RNAcentral is "partial 16S ribosomal RNA". It matches the Rfam family "Bacterial small subunit ribosomal RNA", at positions 338 to 795 of the family's 1533-position model. The record is from RNAcentral.
CCUACGGGUGGCAGCAGUGAGGAAUAUUGGUCAAUGGACGAGAGUCUGAACCAGCAAAGCAGCGUGAAGGAUGACUGCCCUCUGGGUUGUAAACUUCUUUUAUAUGGGAAUAAAAUGCUCCACGUGUGGGAUUUUGUAUGUACCAUAUGAAUAAGGCACGGCUAACUCCGUGCCAGCAGCCGCGGUAAUACGGAGGAUCCGAGCGUUAUCCGGAAUUAUUGGGUUUAAAGGGAGAGUAGGUGGAUUGCUAAGUCAGUUGUGAAAGUUUGCGGCUUAACCGUAAAAUUGCAGUUGAAACUGGCAGUCUUGAGUACAGUAGAGGUAGGCGGAAUUCGUGGUGGAGCGGUGAAAUGCUUAGAGAUCACGAAGAACUCCGAUUGCGAAGGCGGUUCACUGGACUGCAACUGACACUGAGGCGCGAAAGUGUGGGUAGCAAACAGGAUUAGAUACCCCAGUAGUC